RNAcentral lists this long non-coding RNA (600 nucleotides) under Ananas comosus (pineapple). RNAcentral describes it as "long non-coding RNA (ACOM_LNC042244)". Lineage: Eukaryota; Viridiplantae; Streptophyta; Magnoliopsida; Poales; Bromeliaceae. The record is from RNAcentral.
UUUGACUAUAAGUUCUGCAACUUAUAUAUUCUAAUUAAUUUUGUAAGUUGCUGCUUCACUUGAUUUUUGUAUUACUGCAAUUGCAUAUUUUUUAGACAGCCGGUUAGUAACAUUUUUUAACCAAUUUUUCCUAUUAGUUCUAUUUCAUUUUUCUUUAAUUCUUUACUGAUUCUUGCCUUUUCUUUCAGCUAACUCUUACGCUCUUUCUUCGACUUCUACAACUCUCAAUUUUAUUGUAUCUAUGGUCACUCCUGCUGUUGUUGAUUAACUGCUUAUACUUUUAUUUAUUUGUUACUCAAAAUUUUUUAAUUCCUCUUAUGUCUUUACUAUUUCGUCUUUUUUUAGCUUUUUUUAUGUAAAAUCUCAAAUAUUUCUUAAGUUUAACUGUGCAUCAAAUUUUAUUCUCAGUUCUAUUUUUCUUACUCUUUUUGUAUUCUCUACGUUAUUUACAUUGUAACGAAGAUAAUAAACUAUUAUAAGUUAAAUAUCGAAUAUUACCUAUCCGUCGCAUCGCGCGGGUUACUACACUAGUGUAUUCUUAUGAUACUUAAUCAGUUAGAGAACCCCAAUAGCUUAUUUAUAGACUUUAGAAUCAAAACG